GUUGUCCAGAAAAUGAAUAUUAGUUCAGCUUUAAAAAAUACCAAAAAUAUGAACAAAUUAUAAUGUAUUUUUAAAAGUUAGUCUAAAAAGGUACAGCCUUUUAGAAAUGGAUACAACCUUAACUAGAGAGUAAACCCUAACAUCAAACCAUAGUGGGCCUAAAAGCAGCCACCAAUUAAGAAAGCGUUAAAGCUCAACAAUAAAAUAAUACUAAUUCCAAUAAUAAACAGUCAACUCCUAGUCUAAUACUGGACUAAUCUAUUAAAAAUAGAAGCAAUAAUGUUAACAUGAGUAACAAGAAAUAACUUCUCCCCGCAUAAGUUUAAGUCAGUAUCUGAUAAUAUUCUGACUAUUAACAGCAAAAUAAGAAUAACCUAACUAUAAAUAACUUAUUAACUAUACUGUUAAUCCGACACAGGAAUGCACUUAGGGAAAGAUUAAAAGAAGUAAAAGGAACUCGGCAAACACUAAACCCCGCCUGUUUACCAAAAACAUCACCUCCAGCAUAACUAGUAUUGGAGGCACUGCCUGCCCAGUGACGACCGUUAAACGGCCGCGGUAUCCUG
RNAcentral lists this ribosomal RNA (566 nucleotides) under Cervus elaphus hippelaphus. Its description in RNAcentral is "partial 16S ribosomal RNA". Lineage: Eukaryota; Metazoa; Chordata; Mammalia; Artiodactyla; Cervidae. The record is from RNAcentral.